This is a long non-coding RNA of Culex pipiens pallens (northern house mosquito), 503 nucleotides long. RefSeq lists it as uncharacterized. The record is from RefSeq and is a predicted model, not a curated record. The transcript is spliced from 3 exons. NCBI's taxonomy places the organism in Eukaryota, Metazoa, Arthropoda, Insecta, Diptera, Culicidae.
CUCACACUCACACUCAAAAGUCAUCCAAGCAGGCGGCCCCGCGUGAAACAAGUUGGUGACUGGUGAAAAAUUGGUUAUCCUAAAUGGGAACGGAAAGUUACUCACUCGGAAAAUCAACUUCUGCCAACCGGCCCUUUCCAGGGCGCUGUUGGACACCGAGCAGACAGGUCCAAAUCCGGAGUCCGCAAUAGUGUGAAACGACAAAACGGCAACGAGGACGGCUACGGAAAGUGACAUUUGAGCUGGAAUGGCGGAAACCACGAUGAGAGAUUUUGGGUUUUAUAGCGUGGCCCCGUGUGGCUUUUGGACGUUUUACGAUGAUUGUUAAAGAUUCUGCUGGCAGGAUCUUAGCAAUCGCUGGGCAUCAGCAGCAGCACCUUCAACUCUUCCUCUUCGUGGAGAGUUACUUCGCAUUGGCGUUAUUCCACUUCUUCUUCUUCUGGGGAGGGAAUAAAGUGAAUCACUUGGCGUUACAUUUGCCUCGUGGAUUUUGCUUUGGUGGA